This 3597-nucleotide unclassified non-coding RNA is filed under the name Hevea brasiliensis (rubber tree). The record is from RNAcentral. Lineage: Eukaryota; Viridiplantae; Streptophyta; Magnoliopsida; Malpighiales; Euphorbiaceae.
GCAGAUUCCUGUGAAACAAAUAAGCAUAUACAGAAGACACAGCUAAUUCUCUCAUUCAGGCAAUUCUCUUUCACUCUUCUCUCUUUAUGUUGAUAUGCUGCUUCAAUCUUUCUUCUGCGGAUUUUUUUUUUCAUUAUAUUUGAAUGAAAUUGUUCAAGCUUAUUUUAUGUUUCUUGGACGUUCAUGUGCUGCUUCUGUUAUUUGCUUUGAUUUUAGAGUGCUGAAGUCUGUCUCUUCUUUUAUUUCUUUUUAAUUCUCCUUGCAAAUUGACUCUUUGGGAUGAAAUUUAAUUAGUAAAAAAGGGUGGGUAGAGAUUCUUAAUACCAUCAUUUCUCUUGAAAUCGAUAUUAAAGCAGUUCUUGAUCUUAACUAGCUCUUUGUGAAACUCUGGGCAAUGAUUAUAUUUUGGUCAACUCUAUUAAGGAUUUAUUUAGAAGAGCUUGGAAUGUGUAGCUUAAACAUAGUAAUUAGGAAGGGAACACGGCAGCAGAUCAAUUAGCAAUUUUUUUUUUUCUUUUGCAAAUGCUGCACAUACUUUCACUAGCCCUCUUCCAGGACCGCCAUGUAUUAUUCUUUAUGGAUAUCAGUGGUUUUCCUUUCCCAUGUGUCCUCCAUAGUCAGUGGUGUUAACUAUGCACUGCCACUCUCAUUGGUUUCAGCCCAUGGAGGGGAAGGUCCUGAACAGGAAGGCAAUGUGCUGGUUUCAAUAUAGGGGUUUUGAUUCAGUUUCGUUUUUUUAUUUUGGUUUGAUUUGGGUUGAUUUAAUCCAAUGUUUUUUUAUUUUAAUAAACAAAAGGCAGGUUCGAACAGGUCCUUUGAAUAAUUGACGGUUCCGGUUAUAGAUUUGACAUUGCCAUCUCCAGACCUGAACUGGAACUUAACCAUGUAUAGUAUUAAUCCUUCUAUAACCAGAAAAAGUUUAGACUCAUACUAUAAACCUUUUAGUUAAAUAGACUCUAAUUUGACAAAAAAUUACUCAAAUUAAAAUUUUGAACUUGUAGGUGAUGAUCCAAGAAUUGGUUUUGUAAUCUUUAACACAAGUCUUCCCUUUUUCCCUCUAUUUUUCCUGUUCUAAUUUCUUUGACUAUAACAUAUAAUUGUAAAAUUAAAAAACCAUAAUCCUUCCUAUUGUAAUUAAUUUAGGAACAUUAUUUAUAUAUUACAUAGGAGUUCAAUGAUUAAAGAAUAUGGAAGUAACCUCAUUCUUUCAUCAUUCAUUACUUCCCUAUUGCAAAGCCAGUUAUUCUAAGAAGUUUAUGUUGUGUCAGCUAUACACAGUUAUGGGCAGGAAAAAAGAUCUCUAUUGGCAACAUGUGGAAGAAUUGGAUGGCGACCGUUUUAAAUGCAUUUACUGUGGACGUGUUUUUUCAGGGGGCAUUCCAAGGAUUGUAGCUCAUUUGGCUGGAGCUACAAACCAUGGGAUUGACAUAUGCUUUGAAGUUCCUGCACAAAUACGAAAAGAAGCUCAUUUAAAACUUGACAAUCGUCGAAAAAAAGCUAAAAUUGCAAUCAGUUCGAGUGAUCUCCAAGAUAGUCAAGUAAUUUCAGCUCCUCCCCAGAAAUUGUCAGAGGGUAUGCACCAAAAUGUUGAGUUUUCAAAUGCAGAUGAGAAGGAUAAGAAUGAAGUGGAUGACAAGCUCAUCAAAUUCAUUAUUUCAAACAACAUUCCAUUUGAUGUUAUUGAAACACAAUCUUUUAUUGACCUGAUGAAGAGCUCAUCUAAAUGUCCUGAUUAUAGGCCACCAGGUCCUCUGACUUUCUUCACGAAAAUCAUUACUAACAUUGAGAUGGAAAGCAAGGUAUGCUCUGGACUGCAAACAAAUGAAGUCUUAACAUACAUAGAUAAUGUGAAGGGAUCAUGGGCUACAACAGGUUGCACAUUGAGGCUUGAAAAAUUGUGUAACUUCGUUUAUGUCACUGCAUAUUCUCCUGAAGGGUCUCUCUUUAUGAACUGCUGUGGAAAUUCUCUGCACACGGAGACAGAUUUUGAUAUUACAAGGAUUGUUUGUUCUAUAAUUGAAGAUAUUGGGGUUGAUCAGGUUGUGCAGUUAAUCACAAAUGAUGCUUCAAUUUCUCACUCUGCUGGGGAAAUGCUCACAAGUAAGUAUCCCAAAAUUUUCAGUACUCAGUGUGUUGCUCAAAGGAUUCAUGGUUUCCUCAAGGAUGUUUGUCAUAAAGUAGAAUGGGUACGCCUAUUAAUCCAAAAAUCACUAUUAAUUAUUGGACAUUUGCAUGAAGAUGCCACAAUUUUGCAGCUGAUGCCGAGAUUCAGAUUCAAAAGUCCUUGUAAGUCUAAAUUUGCCUCCUAUUAUCAAAUGCUUCAAUCAAUUUUUGAUAAUAAGCAAGAGUUUCAACAACUCGUUACUUCUCUAAAGACAAACCAGCUGAAUUGUAACAAUGACCAGGCGAGACCGAAUGUUUUCAACAUUUUUCAAAGUGCAGAAUUUUGGAGUGAAGGGCAAGAGCUACUGGAAACUAUGAAAUCGGUUAUUAGAGUCCUUUGUUUAGUGGAAUGCUAUGGAUCAACAUCAGGUUAUUUAUAUGAAGCAAUGGAAAUGGCAAAGGAAGCAAUUAAGGUGCAGUGGAUUAAGAAUCAAAAUAAGUAUGCUGAGAUAUUGGACUUGUUUACGAGUCUAAGCAACAAUAUCAUCCAUCCGAUGCAUCUUGCCGCAGCUUUUCUUAACCCUGUUUAUAUGAAUAGUAGAGAAUUUGAAGUUGAUCCUCAAAUAGAGAGAGGCAUAGUCUUUAUGCUGGAUACCUUAGUGGACAAUGAAGAGAAGGAAAUUUUCAAAGGAGAAGUGAAGCUUUAUCUCAAGAAAGUACCAAAUUUGUUCACUGUUGCUGCAAAUCAAUUGUUGCAAACAUGUCAUCCUUGUGCGCAUUUAGUGCAUUAUGAUUUCUUUCUCUUUCUUCUUCUUUUUAUAAUAAAUUCAACCAUUAAUAUUUCUAUAUAUAUGUGUUUAUGCUUUUGGUAUCUCAUGUUAUAUAUGUAGGUAUAUGGUGGGAGUUACGGGGGAAAUGUCUUCCAGUUUUACGAAAGUGUGCAAUGAGAAUUUUGAGUCAACCUUGUAAAUGCAGUUUGCCUUACAAUGCAUAUAAUGUUGUUCAAGAAGAGAUGAAAAAGGGAGCAAAUUUUUCAAAACAUAUUCUAAUCCUGAGAAUGAAUAUGAUGCUCAUGGAAAAAUGGAGAACUUCAGAAACAGAACCUCUGGAGCCAAUUGAUCUUGAAAGCUGCAGUAAACUCCCUGAUUAUAUUGAUCCUAUUAAAGGUUGCGAAGAUGAUCAUCAAAUGGGGAUGAGUUUGGGCAGAAAAAAUUUUGAUGAUAAAAAUGCAGCAAAUGAGGCGCAGGGCCUCCAUUCAAACGCUAUGUCACCUUUCUUAUCCUAUGGAUGGUGCAGAUGGAAUGGAAACAUGGUCAUUCCAAACUAUAUGCAAGGGCAGGCCCUCCAUUCAAACGCUUUGUCACCUUUCUCUUCCUAUGGAUGGUGCAGAUGGAAAGGAAACAUUGCUCGAAGAAGAUGGAGAAUUAUCUACUGCUUAUUGAAAUUUCUUUCUUUGUAUAACAAUUUGGGCAAACAGCACAGAAGGGAAGGAUU